This 430-nucleotide ribosomal RNA is filed under the name Pseudomonadota bacterium. RNAcentral's name for it is "Proteobacteria bacterium partial 16S ribosomal RNA". It matches the Rfam family "Bacterial small subunit ribosomal RNA", at positions 355 to 776 of the family's 1533-position model. The record is from RNAcentral. Lineage: Bacteria; Pseudomonadati; Pseudomonadota.
UGGGGAAUAUUGGACAAUGGGGGGAACCCUGAUCCAGCCAUGCCGCGUGUGUGAAGAAGGCCUUAUGGUUGUAAAGCACUUUAAGCGAGGAGGAGGGUACUGGUAUUAAUACUACCAGGUACUGGACGUUACUCGCAGAAUAAGCACCGGCUAUCUCUGUGCCAGCAGCCGCGGUAAUACAGAGGGUGCGAGCGUUAAUCGGAUUUACUGGGCGUAAAGCGUGCGUAGGCGGCUAAUUGAGUCGGAUGUGAAAUCCCCGAGCUUAACUUGGGAAUUGCAUUCGAUACUGGUUAGCUAGAGUGUGGGAGAGGAUGGUAGAAUUCCAGGUGUAGCGGUGAAAUGCGUAGAGAUCUGGAGGAAUACCGAUGGCGAAGGCAGCCAUCUGGCCUAACACUGACGCUGAGGUACGAAAGCAUGGGGAGCAAACAGG